GGCAGAACUCUGAGGAAUAGCAACAUGGUUAAAAUAAGAGAGCCUAUGAAUAAGAAGGAAGCAGCUGUCAGGGACGUAGAAGCAGAACCAAGAGAAUAUAGUGGGAAAGAUCAUUAAAGAGGUUGGGGGCCCAUGCUGCUGGAGGCUUUAGUAAUAUAGACAUGGAAAAACUUCCAUUCACUUCUCAAUUCACUUCUUCUUCCAUUCACUCUCAAAGUCAUUGGUAGGCCCAUCAAAAAUAACUCCCCAAAACAUGGACCAGUAGAAAGGGGCAGAAGCCACGGGGCAUUAGUCUUAGGAACAAACGGGAGAUGGCCAAGUGGGGGAGAGAGUGAAGACAGUCUAGAAGGGGUUAUGGAAGAACACCACCCCACCCCCAAGGAGAGCAGCAGAGGAUCAGGAACCCAUGCGAGAAGCUCCCCGCUAUUACACUCCCGACCCAAAUAACCAAGAUGCCAACAAGCAAAUACGAGUCUCGGAAAAUCUUCCAUCAUCAACACACAAUUUCCUUCAGCUUCUCCUUGGUUUGUAUGACAAAGAAAAAUUGCAUCACUGCUGAUUCAUGUGGACCCUGGAUAGAAAGGAGAGAGAAGUGGCAGCAGGGGCAUUCAUAUUUUAUUAGAAGUUACUGUUAUCUGGUGAAAUGGGAGCGCCAUCACAGCACUCCAUCUAACUCCUUGGCCUCAGGAGGACACAGCAAGAAGGCAUCCAUCUGUAAGCCAGGAAGAGAGCUCUCAACAAAACCCAACCAUGCUGGCACCCUGAUCUCGGAUUUACACCCUCCAGAACUGUAGGAAAGUAAAUUUCCAUUCCUUGAGCUAGCCAAUUUAUGGUAUUUUGUUCUGACAGCUCAAGAAGACUAAUGCAGUACAUACCCAUAUAUGUGUGUAUAUAUGUAUUUAUUACCCUUACUUAUAUUGUUUCCCUUACUUCUGUUAUUCUGUAUCCAUAUUACCCUCCUACAUUUUCCUUCAUAGCAACAUCCCCACUAUAUACACUAUGAGCUCUACUUAGUGAUUUCCUUGUUGUCUCUUCUCCCCAAGUAGAAUGCAAACUGCAUGAGAGUCAGGUCAUUAUCUUGUUCAUUGCUGUAUCCUCAAUGGUUAGAAUAGCAAUGCCCGACACAAACCAGGCAUUCAGUCAACACUCGCCAAGUGAAUAAAUCACUAGAAAAUAAGCUCCUGUACUGAGCACAGUGCUUGGCACAUAGAACACCUUGAUUCAUGUUUGCUGAGCUGAAAUGAACUGAACUGAGCUUAACACGCAUCAGUUGAGAAGGUGGCAUGCAAGACAAUACAAAAAAGCCAGGGUGAGAAGCUUUAGUUCAAGCCAUCACGGCUUUGCAGUAAAUAUCAUUGGAAACAACACUAAAACUUUUAGACCUUGGAGCUGAUCUGACCAUGUAAGCACAGUAAUGGACCCUGCCUCACCAUAGCCCCAUCCAAAGGCAUAUGUAUAAGGAAAAAAGCCAGUUUAUACAUAGGGUGUCAGUUACAUGUCAAGCACAUAAAAUGAAAUGCUGCUAUAGAUCUCAUGGAUAGAAAAGAUUAAACACAAAUAACAAGACCAAUAUUUCUGGUCCAAAAUGGUGAACAAGCCAGGAUGUUUAAUUGCCCACCCCCCAAAUCCCCCUUAAAUCUCACACACACACACACACACACACACACACACGUGAAAGUUCUAUAUUAUGGCUGAAAACUAGCAAAGAGUGACUAUCAUAAACCUAAAAUAUAGAUAUUUUGGAAAAAUUAACUGCAAACAAGGAAAAGAGCUACAAUCAGCCAGAUAUUUAUCUCAUGUGCUAUAGGAAUCCAGAUAAGAAUAAAUGAUUAUCAGGAGCAAAUUUUAAGAAAAAAUAAAUGGAAUCCCACAACUGGAAGGACCUGCAACUAAGAUAUACAACUAUGUACCGGGAGGGGUUUGGAAAAUAAAGCAG
Molecule: long non-coding RNA, 1936 nt
Organism: Equus caballus (horse)
Lineage: Eukaryota; Metazoa; Chordata; Mammalia; Perissodactyla; Equidae
Source: Ensembl